GAUGAAGAACGCAGCGAAAUGCGAUAAGUAAUGUGAAUUGUAGAAUUCAGUGAAUCAUCGAAUCUUUGAACGCACAUUGCGCCCGCCAGUAUUCUGGCGGGCAUGCCUGUUCGAGCGUCAUUACAACCCUCAGGCCCCCGGGCCUGGCGUUGGGGAUCGGCGGAGCCCCCCGUGGGCACACGCCGUCCCCCAAAUACAGUGGCGGUCCCGCCGCAGCUUCCAUCGCGUAGUAGCUAACACCUCGCGACUGGAGAGCGGCGCGGCCACGCCGUAAAACACCCAACUCUUCUGAAGUUGACCUCGAAUCAGGUAGGAAUACCCGCUGAACUUAAGCAUAUCAAUAAGCGGAGGA
This 352-nucleotide unclassified non-coding RNA is filed under the name soil metagenome. RNAcentral's name for it is "partial contains 5.8S ribosomal RNA, internal transcribed spacer 2, and large subunit ribosomal RNA". The stretch from base 1 to 120 matches the Rfam family "5.8S ribosomal RNA", at positions 35 to 154 of the family's 154-position model. The record is from RNAcentral.